AACGCUGGCGGCGUGCUUAACACAUGCAAGUCGAACGGAAAGGCCCUGCUUUUGUGGGGUGCUCGAGUGGCGAACGGGUGAGUAACACGUGAGUAACCUGCCCUUGACUUUGGGAUAACUUCAGGAAACUGGGGCUAAUACCGGAUAGGAGCUCCUGCUGCAUGGUGGGGGUUGGAAAGUUUCGGCGGUUGGGGAUGGACUCGCGGCUUAUCAGCUUGUUGGUGGGGUAGUGGCUUACCAAGGCUUUGACGGGUAGCCGGCCUGAGAGGGUGACCGGCCACAUUGGGACUGAGAUACGGCCCAGACUCCUACGGGAGGCAGCAGUGGGGAAUAUUGCACAAUGGGCGGAAGCCUGAUGCAGCAACGCCGCGUGCGGGAUGACGGCCUUCGGGUUGUAAACCGCUUUCGCCUGUGACGAAGCGUGAGUGACGGUAAUGGGUAAAGAAACACCGGCUAACUACGUGCCAGCAGCCGCGGUGAUACGUAGGGUGCGAGCGUUGUCCGGAUUUAUUGGGCGUAAAGGGCUCGUAGGUGGUUGAUCGCGUCGGAAGUGUAAUCUUGGGGCUUAACCCUGAGCGUGCUUUCGAUACGGGUUGACUUGAGGAAGGUAGGGGAGAAUGGAAUUCCUGGUGGAGCGGUGGAAUGCGCAGAUAUCAGGAGGAACACCAGUGGCGAAGGCGGUUCUCUGGGCCUUUCCUGACGCUGAGGAGCGAAAGCGUGGGGAGCGAACAGGCUUAGAUACCCUGGUAGUCCACGCUGUAAACGGUGGGUACUAGGUGUGGGGUCCAUUCCACGGGUUCCGUGCCGUAGCUAACGCUUUAAGUACCCCGCCUGGGGAGUACGGCCGCAAGGCUAAAACUCAAAGGAAUUGACGGGGCCCCGCACAAGCGGCGGAGCAUGCGGAUUAAUUCGAUGCAACGCGUAGAACCUUACCUGGGUUUGACAUGGAUCGGGAGUGCUCAGAGAUGGGUGUGCCUCUUUUGGGGUCGGUUCACAGGUGGUGCAUGGCUGUCGUCAGCUCGUGUCGUGAGAUGUUGGGUUAAGUCCCGCAACGAGCGCAACCCUUGUUCACUGUUGCCAGCACGUUAUGGUGGGGACUCAGUGGAGACCGCCGGGGUCAACUCGGAGGAAGGUGGGGAUGACGUCAAGUCAUCAUGCCCCUUAUGUCCAGGGCUUCACGCAUGCUACAAUGGCUGGUACAGAGAGUGGCGAGCCUGUGAGGGUGAGCGAAUCUCGGAAAGCCGGUCUCAGUUCGGAUUGGGGUCUGCAACUCGACCUCAUGAAGUCGGAGUCGCUAGUAAUCGCAGAUCAGCAACGCUGCGGUGAAUACGUUCCCGGGGCUUGUACACACCGCCCGUCAAGCCAUGAAAGUUGGUAACACCCGAAGCCGGUGGCCUAACCGUUGUGGGGGAGCCGUCGAAGGUGGGACUGGUGAUUAGGAC
Molecule: ribosomal RNA, 1442 nt
Filed under: uncultured organism
Description: partial small subunit ribosomal RNA
Rfam family: Bacterial small subunit ribosomal RNA
Source: RNAcentral